Molecule: long non-coding RNA, 991 nt
Organism: Vigna angularis (adzuki bean)
Lineage: Eukaryota; Viridiplantae; Streptophyta; Magnoliopsida; Fabales; Fabaceae
Exons: 2
Source: RefSeq, a predicted model, not a curated record
CCCAAAAUUAGGGUUUCAGAUUGGGAAAAAGGAAGCUCUUGCGCCUAGAACUCGAUUUUGCGAAUUAGUGAUUGCUCCUGUGCCGUGACGAAGAAAGAUGGUUGCUGGUGGUGUGUGAGGAAAACUGGCGAUUUGGCCAUGGAGGUUGAAGAAGAAACUCGCGCGAGGAGAUUGCGAGUUCGCGAGCUCUCUGUUGAUGAUAGUGGAGGAUUCUUGCGGUGGUGGUCACGGAAGCGCGACAUGGAUAUCACGAGGCAUGGAUGAGAAGACGCUCGCGCAGCGGAGGCUUGCGGUUGCUUAAGGGUUUUUGCGUUCUCUGAAUUUCCAGAUUCGUGAUGAAGAAGAUGAAUGCUGGAGCGAAUCUUGUGGAGUUGCUAUUGGGGUUUUUUCCGCGAUUGGGGCUGGUUGGCGGAGGGAUGGUUAAGAAGCUGCCAUGGUUGCGUGAUGGCUUCUAGUUUUUUUUUUUGUUUUCAGGUAUCGGGAUUGGUUAGCAAGAAGGUGGAGGCUCGCGACUUUGAUGGUGAAUGCGGAGCAUCGCAAUUUGGGGUUGAAGAUGAAGGUUGGUGUUGUUUCGUGGUUUAGUAUUGCAGGGUUAGGUUGCUGCAAGGGAGGCGCUGCUGGGUUGCGUUUGGGGUUUCCAUGGAGGUUUUUGGCGUGGUGGAAGGUUGCGCAAGAAGAUGAACCUAUGGUGGCGUCUAGGGUGAAGACGAACAGGGUUGGUGGUGGCGUUGAUGGUGUCUUCACGGUUGCGUCGCGGGGCAAGGUUGGUUGGGUAGCGGCAGCGGCUAGGGUUCACGUGACAUCACAAGGGUUUGUGUCUAGGUAGAAAUUAGGAUUUCUGUGGAGAAGGCAAAACUGACUUGGCAAGAGGGAUUAAAUAACACGUCAACACACAACUAAAUAAUGACACGUUAGCACUAACUGUUGCCAGAUCAUCACCCAUUAACUUCGUUUGGUUAUAUUUAAUGGAAGGGAUGAAUUUGACGCAAAA